GAUGAAGAACGCAGCGAAAUGCGAUAAGUAAUGUGAAUUGCAGAAUUCAGUGAAUCAUCGAAUCUUUGAACGCACAUUGCGCCCCCUGGUAUUCCGGGGGGCAUCCCUGUCCGAGCGUCAUUACAACCCUCAAGCUCAGCUUGGUGUUGGGCCCCGCCGCCCCGGCGGGCCCUAAAGUCAGUGGCGGUGCCGUCCGGCUCCGAGCGUAGUAAUUCUUCUCGCUCUGGAGGCCCGGUCGUGUGCUCGCCAGCAACCCCCAAUUUUUUUCAGGUUGACCUCGGAUCAGGUAGGGAUACCCGCUGAACUUAAGCAUAUCAAUAAGCGGAGGA
Molecule: unclassified non-coding RNA, 329 nt
Filed under: soil metagenome
Description: partial contains 5.8S ribosomal RNA, internal transcribed spacer 2, and large subunit ribosomal RNA
Rfam family: 5.8S ribosomal RNA (bases 1-120)
Source: RNAcentral